AGUGAACGCUGGCGGUAGGCCUAACACAUGCAAGUCGAACGGCAACACAGGAGAGCUUGCUCUCUGGGUGGCGAGUGGCGGACGGGUGAGGAAUACAUCGGAAUCUACUUUUUCGUGGGGGAUAACGUAGGGAAACUUACGCUAAUACCGCAUACGACAUACGGGUGAAAGCAGGGGACCUUCGGGCCUUGCGCGAUUGAAUGAGCCGAUGUCGGAUUAGCUAGUUGGCGGGGUAAAGGCCCACCAAGGCGACGAUCCGUAGCUGGUCUGAGAGGAUGAUCAGCCACACUGGAACUGAGACACGGUCCAGACUCCUACGGGAGGCAGCAGUGGGGAAUAUUGGACAAUGGGCGCAAGCCUGAUCCAGCCAUACCGCGUGGGUGAAGAAGGCCUUCGGGUUGUAAAGCCCUUUUGUUGGGAAAGAAAUCCAGCUGGCUAAUACCCGGUUGGGAUGACGGUACCCAAAGGAUAAGCACCGGCUAACUUCGUGCCAGCCGCCGCCGUAA
This 506-nucleotide ribosomal RNA is filed under the name uncultured bacterium. RNAcentral describes it as "partial 16S ribosomal RNA". It matches the Rfam family "Bacterial small subunit ribosomal RNA", at positions 29 to 523 of the family's 1533-position model. The record is from RNAcentral.